This 885-nucleotide ribosomal RNA is filed under the name Alternaria scirpivora. Its description in RNAcentral is "SSU rRNA". It matches the Rfam family "Eukaryotic small subunit ribosomal RNA", at positions 71 to 966 of the family's 1831-position model. The record is from RNAcentral. Lineage: Eukaryota; Fungi; Ascomycota; Dothideomycetes; Pleosporales; Pleosporaceae.
GCAUUAUACCGUGAAACUGCGAAUGGCUCAUUAAAUCAGUUAUCGUUUAUUUGAUAAUACCUUACUACUUGGAUAACCGUGGUAAUUCUAGAGCUAAUACAUGCUGAAAAUCCCGACUUCGGAAGGGAUGUGCUUAUUAGAUAAAAAACCAAUGCCCUUCGGGGCUCUUUGGUGAUUCAUGAUAAUUUUACGGAUCGCAUAGCCUUGCGCUGGCGACGGUUCAUUCAAAUUUCUGCCCUAUCAACUUUCGAUGGUAAGGUAUUGGCUUACCAUGGUUUCAACGGGUAACGGGGAAUUAGGGUUCGAUUCCGGAGAGGGAGCCUGAGAAACGGCUACCACAUCCAAGGAAGGCAGCAGGCGCGCAAAUUACCCAAUCCCGACACGGGGAGGUAGUGACAAUAAAUACUGAUACAGGGCUCUUUUGGGUCUUGUAAUUGGAAUGAGUACAAUUUAAACCUCUUAACGAGGAACAAUUGGAGGGCAAGUCUGGUGCCAGCAGCCGCGGUAAUUCCAGCUCCAAUAGCGUAUAUUAAAGUUGUUGCAGUUAAAAAGCUCGUAGUUGAAACUUGGGCCUGGCUGGCGGGUCCGCCUCACCGCGUGCACUCGUCCGGCCGGGCCUUCCUUCUGAAGAACCUCAUGCCCUUCACUGGGCGUGUUGGGGAAUCAGGACUUUUACUUUGAAAAAAUUAGAGUGUUCAAAGCAGGCCUUUGCUCGAAUACGUUAGCAUGGAAUAAUAAAAUAGGGCGUGCGUUUCUAUUUUGUUGGUUUCUAGAGACGCCGCAAUGAUUAACAGGAACAGUCGGGGGCAUCAGUAUUCAGUUGUCAGAGGUGAAAUUCUUGGAUUUACUGAAGACUAACUACUGCGAAAGCAUUUGCCAAGGAUG